UGGGGAAUUUUGGACAAUGGGCGAAAGCCUGAUCCAGCAAUGCCGCGUGUGUGAAGAAGGCCUUCGGGUUGUAAAGCACUUUUGUCCGGAAAGAAAUCCUUGGCUCUAAUACAGUCGGGGGAUGACGGUACCGGAAGAAUAAGCACCGGCUAACUACGUGCCAGCAGCCGCGGUAAUACGUAGGGUGCAAGCGUUAAUCGGAAUUACUGGGCGUAAAGCGUGCGCAGGCGGUUUGCUAAGACCGAUGUGAAAUCCCCGGGCUCAACCCGGGAACUGCAUUGGUGACUGGCAGGCUAGAGUAUGGCAGAGGGGGGUAGAAUUCCACGUGUAGCAGUGAAAUGCGUAGAGAUGUGGAGGAAUACCGAUGGCGAAGGCAGCCCCCUGGGCCAAUACUGACGCUCAUGCACGAAAGCGUGGGGAGCAAACAGGAUUAGAUACCCUGGUAGUCCACGCCCUAAACGAUGUCAACUAGUUGUUGGGGAUUCAUUUCCUUAGUAACGUAGCUAACGCGUGAAGUUGACCGCCUGGGGAGUACGGUCGCAAGAUUAAAACUUAAAGGAAUUGACGGGGUCAUAGCUG
Molecule: ribosomal RNA, 579 nt
Filed under: uncultured bacterium
Lineage: Bacteria
Description: partial 16S ribosomal RNA
Rfam family: Bacterial small subunit ribosomal RNA
Source: RNAcentral